RNAcentral lists this long non-coding RNA (926 nucleotides) under Marmota monax (woodchuck). The record is from RNAcentral. Lineage: Eukaryota; Metazoa; Chordata; Mammalia; Rodentia; Sciuridae.
AUAAUUCUUCAACAUUCUCGGAAUUCCUGUCCCUUGUCAAAGGCAAUUGUUGCAAGAAACUUUGUGAACCCUUUUCUGAGUUUUUAUAGGUUCCCUCUAAUAAUUUGUCACCUCUAGGGUUCUGGAACAGAACUUGGUUUGCAAGCAUUGAGUCCCUACAUAACUCCUAAGGACCCCACACCUUCUGGAUCAGUACUUUUGUCUCCCAUGGAUGCAGGGCUAUCUUCUCUGCUUCUUGGGAAUAAUCUAGAGUGCUUCAACUAGAACAGCAUUUCUCAACUGAGUAAGGGGAAUGAUUCCUUCCCCAAGGAACAUCUGGCUAUGUCUGAAGACAUUUUUGGUUUUCAUAUCCAAGGGGUGUGCUACUGGUAUCUAAAAGUUAGAGCUCAGGAUGCUGCUAAAAUCCUACAAUAUGCAGGACAGCUGUGAACCUCAAAGAAUUAUCUGACCCCAAACGUCAACAGUGCCAAGGUUGGGAAACCUUGAUUUGUAUGGACAUGCAACCCCACAAGGUGGGAUCCCUGGGUCAUCAUCUGUUCAAUGCCCUGGAGUUGCUGAGAAGAUGGUGAACCACCUGGAUUAGGAGGCUCUAAGACCAGACCACAGAGUUCAGCACCUAAGUUGGAGUGGGGAAAGAGGGAGAGAGCUGAGGUUCUAUGUGCAGGAAAUGGAACUGACAGAAUUUAUGUGCAUAAUUGCAAAGGCAACCUCUGAUUAAUCUGCAGCAGUUCACCAUGAUUAACUAUGCCUUCAGGACCUGGCUCAGUCUGCAACCUCCUAAGAGACGAAUUUUGACUUAGACAGAUUGGUGUGUUGAGCUGGCACUGAGGAAGUGUGAUUGACAAGCUAAGGAGGAGCAGCACAGGGACAAGAAUAGCCAGGUAGAUACUGGUUUGCUUCCCAGAUCUGCCACUCUCUGACUGCCU